GGAAUUUUCCGCAAUGGGCGAAAGCCUGAUCCAGCAAUGCCGCGUGAGUGAAGAAGGCCUUCGGGUUGUAAAGCUCUUUUGUCAGGGAAGAAACGGUGUUUUCUAAUACAGAGCGCUAAUGACGGUACCUGAAGAAUAAGCACCGGCUAACUACGUGCCAGCAGCCGCGGUAAUACGGAGGGUCCGAGCGUUAAUCGGAAUUACUGGGCGUAAAGCGUGCGCAGGCGGUUUGUUAAGCGAGAUGUGAAAGCCCUGGGCUCAACCUAGGAAUAGCAUUUCGAACUGGCGAACUAGAGUCUUGUAGAGGGGGGUAGAAUUCCAGGUGUAGCGGUGAAAUGCGUAGAUAUGUGGAGGAACACCGAUGGCGAAGGCAGCCCCCUGGGUCAAGAUUGACGCUCAUGCACGAAAGCGUGGAGAGCAAACAGGAUUAGAUACCCUAG
RNAcentral lists this ribosomal RNA (440 nucleotides) under uncultured Rugamonas sp. Its description in RNAcentral is "bacterial SSU rRNA". It matches the Rfam family "Bacterial small subunit ribosomal RNA", at positions 358 to 790 of the family's 1533-position model. Lineage: Bacteria; Pseudomonadati; Pseudomonadota; Betaproteobacteria; Burkholderiales; Oxalobacteraceae. The record is from RNAcentral.